CUGGUCUUCUUAUGUGAAUGGGCUUCUCCUAUUUGUCUAAAGAGUAGUGUUUACAGGUGCAUCUCCUAGAGCUCAACUGCAGGUCUCAUCCAUUUCAGCUUAACUCACUUUCAACACUCAAAAACCCCCACAGCAUGGUCCCGUUUCAACUUUAUCUAUCCCUUGUCCGCUUCAUCUACUCCACACAUCAAGCAGAGUGACCUAUUGUACUUAUAUGGUUCAAAAAAACACACAAGGACUCUCACCACUGGGCCCAUUCCCUCCAUCCAGAAUACUCUUCCUGCCCUCACAUUCUGUGUACCUGGAAAACAAAUGCUCCCCAUUCUUCCAAAUCUGCUUUACUGUCACUUUCUUCCUGAAGCCUUUCUCAGGACCCCACUAUUAUCUCUUUGACUUUUCACAGCAUUUGUACCUCUUUUCCAUUAUUGCUCUAUAUUAGUUAUUCUGUCUUACUGUUCUGUGUGACAGUUGGUUGUAUAAUACUCUUAACCUUGUUAAAUCAACCUCAGGCCCAUCCAGUAACUUGGACAGUAGCCUACUUGUGCAGCAAGUGUCAGUAGAUACUUGUUAAAUUGAUUUAAACUUUAAUGCAAAUUCUGGAACUUAAAGGCUAACACAAUGAAGUUGUCAGAAGUGACUCAAGAUUUUCAGUCUUUGGAAACUUCGAUUUUGAGAGGCUGCAAGGGACAGCACAGUUAUCUAGUUCCCACCUAGGAAAGAGUGUUUUCUCUAUUUAGAUCAAGGCAGUCAGUGGCCUAGGUAAAGGGUUCUUGCACUUGGGCAAACGAAAGCACCAUUAAUGGAGAUUUGUAUCAGCAACACAGUAUCUACCUAGUUUCUUCUGGACUGUGGCAGUGUACUGAUAGACAUGCUUUAUUCUCCUGGCCGAAUGCUACAAGAUGCACUUGCUUCUCAAUGUUCUAUUUUCCUGCUCUGCCUGUCUGGUCUGUGUUCUCCUUUCCCUCCAAACCUCCUUUUUUCUAGGGCUUCAUUUCAACCCCCAUAUGCUUCUUAGUCUGUGAGUGGCCUAGAUGUGUUGCUAAGGAAGAGCUGAUUUCCAGGGUCUUCGGCCAGCGGUGACCCACAAAAGCCGAAUUACUCUCUUUGUGUCAUCUCACCUUGGCACACAUCCAGGGGGAGAUAAUAUGUAUGACCUAGUGUGUUCCGAGUAGCUUUAAAUCAAGAAAUUGCAUAUUUAGUGCAGUUUAGUAGUCCAAGAAAGACCCAAGAGUCAAGAACUCUUAAAUGUUUAUCCCCGUGUGAAUUCAGAUUUAUUGGGGGAAUUUCUAGCAGGUCACUUAACCUCUCUGUGUCCCUACAAUAUUCCUACAAAGUACUGAUACAGCUGUUUUAUAUCAAUCUUGUACUUUAACAUUUUUAAAUUACAUUUAUUUUAUUGAAAUUAGUUUUCAAUAGAGAAUCUUCUUGCCUAGCAAUUUUAUCACUUCUGAUUUUUAAUAUGGAUUUCUACUUACACUAACUUAGAGUUUGCCUUUUAACAUUAACAGUUAGAUGUGGUUACAUUUCUUUUUUGUUUCUUUGUUUUUUUUGUUUAUGUUUACAUUUCUUAAAGAGUAUUUACAUUCAUUCGGAAAUCUAACAAAUUUAAAUCUUGGAAAGCUUCCUUUAUCUUCUUCUUUUAUGAAUAAUAUAAAAUUGUAGUGAAACUGUUAGAAAAGAGAAGGAUAGAAACAUGUUAAUGCUUUGACCCUGUAAGAACCUGGGAACCAUACUGUACUAACUGUAGACGACAUCUUAAUCAUCAUGUGGACUUCAGAUAUUCUUUUUUAAAACUUUACCUUUAUUUAUAAUCUAAACUUUAUCCAAUUCUGGUGUAAUCAUAAAAUGUAUAGCUUACUAAUUGCCUUUAAGGAAAUUUUUGCCCCAAUGAGCAUUAGUAUUGAAUAUGCUAAGCCAAAUUUAGUUAUCAAGACCUACUGAUCACCUUUCACGUUCAUACGGUCACAGUCCUCACCUGGAUUCUCCCUUCCAUUGUUUGACUAGUGGUCCUUUGGCGUGCUUCUCUGGGAACUGAUGACAAGAGGAGCACCCCCUUACCCUGACGUCAACACCUUUGAUAUAACAGUUUACUUGUUGCAAGGCAGAAGGCUCCUACAACCCGAAUACUGCCCAGAUCCCUUAUAUGAAGUGAUGCUCAAAUGCUGGCACCCUAAAGCUGAACUGCGCCCAUCUUUUUCUGAACUGGUCUCCAGGAUAUCAGCAAUAUUCUCUACUUUCAUUGGGGAGCACUACGUCCAUGUGAACGCUACUUAUGUGAAUGUCAAAUGUGUUGCUCCAUACCCUUCUCUGUUGUCAUCACAAGAUAACAUUGAUGGCGAGGGGGACACAUGACAGAUGGAUAACUCACCAGCCCCCUUCUGAGAAACAUCAUAGACUUUUCCAAACAAUUACAUUUCGUUCAAUUUUUUUUUCACUGCCUGGCCAUUGAAAGGGCACCAGAUAUUUUUUGCUUUUGCCAAGAUUGCACUAUUAUAGGACUCUAUAUUGCUAUUUAAAAUGACUGGAUUCUGAGGAAUUUAUUAGCCGACAGAGCAUCAGAGCCAGAAGCUUUGUCCCAUAGGCCAGUGCCCAACAGCAACCCCACAGCUGUGAUGAUGCUCCUGUGCAUUCAGGCCAAAACCUGAAUUCUAGGUUGAAAUUUAAAAAUCAGGAUCCUACAUGAUUUCAUAUGAGGAACGGAGGCAAUGAAUUCUGAGGACUUCUUGAUCACAGAAAAUUCAGAAGAAAUGGUAAAGUCCCAGACAGACGUGGCCCCAGUACCAAGCCAUUCACUUAGACUUAAAGUGGUUCAAAGAACUUCCAUGUGUUGUAUGGUCACUAACACUUUUUAUUACUGAUGUUGUCAUUUUCCCAUUAGGCAAACAUUCCCUUUUAAAUUUUUGUAUCACAUUCCUUUUCAUGGAGAAAUAUCCAUAGACAAUGCAGUGAACGUUUCAAAAUGGCAGGACAUGAAAUGUGUUUAUAAAUUAAUAGGUAUAUUUACAUAUUAUACAUAGGUGACAUUAAGAAGGUUCUCAUAAAGUAGCUUAGUCACAAUGAAAUAAUUAGUUGUCAUUUAGAAAUCAACAGAGAAUGAUACUAUUCUAAUGAUUGUGGACAUUUAGAUGGUUUGUCUGUUGUUGUUUUUUUUUAUGACGACUCUGAUUCAAACAAGUGAUUUGUGAUAAGUGUUUUUAAAGGUAACUUAGCAUGUUGUUAAAGCAGAAUACAUCUGACUAAAAGGUUCAUUGGUUCCUAUCAUGGCUCAUGUAGGGCAAAGAAAGGAUCGAUGGACUGGAAACGUUAGCCUCUUUCUCAGGUGGCAGCUUCCCACCCCACAAAUAAUUGGAGGUAAUAAAACUUUCUGGGAGUCCAGUUUUUCAUUAGAACAUGCUUUGUGGGAAGCAAAACAUAUUUUACACGGAAAUAAAAGCAACUGAGAGUUCUGGCCAUUUCACCUGGAUGAACAGUUGUUCUGGGCAGGACUUUUGUAAUGUUUUGUUCUGUAGGAUCUCGUGCUUACUACUGUAUAGUGCAUGUGGCACAGGAUACUCUGUUUUUGUCAGUGUAAACAUUUGAAGUAUUAUAUUUUUAUAAAAAUGUUUAUUUUUAAUGAUAUAAGAAAACUUUUGUUAGGCCACAAAAAUACUGCACUGUGAACAUUUCAGAAAAGGUAUGUCAGGCUUGGAUUAAUAAAAGCAUAGUUCUCAAUGGCUGUAAAUAGUGAUAAGGAAAUGUACUGAUUGCCAGUAAACCCCACCCUCAUUACAUCACCAGGACUUGAAGCCAAGGGUUAACACAGCAAGCUAUAAAGAGGGUGUGUUACACUGGAGCCCAAUGGUCGAGCUGGGCUGAUGUUGCAAGAGAGUGAUUACAACCUACACUCUUUGACAGUAGUGGAAUUUGCCAGAAGAAAACAAGGAAUUGUAGGGUAGAGACAUAUUCCAAUUUAAAUGUUGUUUCAGAAGACUAAAGAGUGAUACUAUGCACAAAUAUUGCAAAUGGUGGGUAACCAAAAAAACUCUGCAGAAACAAAUAUCUCUACUAAUAUCCAGAGAUGAAUGCAUCAGGAGCAGAAAGAGCUUGUGGAAACAACCCAUCAACAAGACUACACACCUGUAUAUACACUUGAGAAAGCUGCAAUGUCAAAAUCAUGUUUGCUAUUUAUAAACAUGUCCUUAGGUUAAUGUGUCUGGACAGAUUGUGAGAGUAAGUGGUUCUUCUAAGAAUUAGAUACUUGUCACUGCCUAUACCUGCAGUUGAGCUGAAUGGUACUUUGUAUGUUAAUAGUUGUUGUUUUGAUAAAUCAUACAAUUAAAAUAAUGUAUCAUCUUGUUA
Molecule: non-coding RNA, 4338 nt
Organism: Leptonychotes weddellii (Weddell seal)
Lineage: Eukaryota; Metazoa; Chordata; Mammalia; Carnivora; Phocidae
Source: RefSeq, a predicted model, not a curated record